Molecule: transfer RNA, 64 nt
Filed under: Phalangium opilio (common harvesterman)
Lineage: Eukaryota; Metazoa; Arthropoda; Arachnida; Opiliones; Phalangiidae
Description: tRNA-Leu
Source: RNAcentral
AUUAAUGUGGCAGAUUAAGUGCGAUGAAUUUAAGCUUCAUUAAUAGAAGUUUUUCUCUUUAAUA